This 691-nucleotide ribosomal RNA is filed under the name Staphylococcus aureus. RNAcentral describes it as "partial 23S ribosomal RNA". It matches the Rfam family "Bacterial large subunit ribosomal RNA", at positions 831 to 1524 of the family's 2925-position model. Lineage: Bacteria; Bacillati; Bacillota; Bacilli; Caryophanales; Staphylococcaceae. The record is from RNAcentral.
AAUCGAACCUGGAGAUAGCUGGUUCUCUCCGAAAUAGCUUUAGGGCUAGCCUCAAGUGAUGAUUAUUGGAGGUAGAGCACUGUUUGGACGAGGGGCCCCUCUCGGGUUACCGAAUUCAGACAAACUCCGAAUGCCAAUUAAUUUAACUUGGGAGUCAGAACAUGGGUGAUAAGGUCCGUGUUCGAAAGGGAAACAGCCCAGACCACCAGCUAAGGUCCCAAAAUAUAUGUUAAGUGGAAAAGGAUGUGGCGUUGCCCAGACAACUAGGAUGUUGGCUUAGAAGCAGCCAUCAUUUAAAGAGUGCGUAAUAGCUCACUAGUCGAGUGACACUGCGCCGAAAAUGUACCGGGGCUAAACAUAUUACCGAAGCUGUGGAUUGUCCUUUGGACAAUGGUAGGAGAGCGUUCUAAGGGCGUUGAAGCAUGAUCGUAAGGACAUGUGGAGCGCUUAGAAGUGAGAAUGCCGGUGUGAGUAGCGAAAGACGGGUGAGAAUCCCGUCCACCGAUUGACUAAGGUUUCCAGAGGAAGGCUCGUCCGCUCUGGGUUAGUCGGGUCCUAAGCUGAGGCCGACAGGCGUAGGCGAUGGAUAACAGGUUGAUAUUCCUGUACCACCUAUAAUCGUUUUAAUCGAUGGGGGGACGCAGUAGGAUAGGCGAAGCGUGCGAUUGGAUUGCACGUCUAAGCAGUAAGG